This 505-nucleotide ribosomal RNA is filed under the name uncultured bacterium. RNAcentral describes it as "partial 16S ribosomal RNA". It matches the Rfam family "Bacterial small subunit ribosomal RNA", at positions 28 to 507 of the family's 1533-position model. The record is from RNAcentral.
GACGAACGCUGGCGGCGUGCCUAAUACAUGCAAGUAGAACGCACAGUUUAUACCGUAGCUUGCUACACCAUAGACUGUGAGUUGCGAACGGGUGAGUAACGCGUAGGUAACCUGCCUGGUAGCGGGGGAUAACUAUUGGAAACGAUAGCUAAUACCGCAUAAUAUUAAUUAUUGCAUGAUAAUUGAUUGAAAGAUGCAACUGCAUCACUACCAGAUGGACCUGCGUUGUAUUAGCUAGUAGGUGAGGUAACGGCUCACCUAGGCGACGAUACAUAGCCGACCUGAGAGGGUGAUCGGCCACACUGGGACUGAGACACGGCCCAGACUCCUACGGGAGGCAGCAGUAGGGAAUCUUCGGCAAUGGACGAAAGUCUGACCGAGCAACGCCGCGUGAGUGAAGAAGGUUUUCGGACCGUAAAGCUCUGUUGUAAGAGAAGAACGGGUGUGAGAGUGGAAAGUUCACACUGUGACGGUAUCUUACCAGAAAGGGACGGCUAACUACGUG